Molecule: long non-coding RNA, 247 nt
Organism: Trichomycterus rosablanca
Lineage: Eukaryota; Metazoa; Chordata; Actinopteri; Siluriformes; Trichomycteridae
Exons: 3
Source: RefSeq, a predicted model, not a curated record
GAAUUGCUGUCUUCGCCACCACUGAUUUACCCAGCUACAGAGACAAAGAGAGACAUGAAUACAGCAGCUACACCAGAGAAUGGUGUGUUGCCGUUAGCAUAAGGAUGGAUGCUUUACCGUGAUGACACGCAGGUUGAUGUCCUCAGGUUCGAGUGGACUGCAUACCACUGGAGACCACCAUGGGCCGACCUGAAUGGAGGGAACAAUAAUUAUAACUAGAUUGUAGUUUCAGAACAAUAAACACACU